This 393-nucleotide ribosomal RNA is filed under the name uncultured bacterium. RNAcentral's name for it is "partial 16S ribosomal RNA". It matches the Rfam family "Bacterial small subunit ribosomal RNA", at positions 523 to 918 of the family's 1533-position model. The record is from RNAcentral.
AUACGGAGGAUGCGAGCGUUAUCCGGAUUUAUUGGGUUUAAAGGGUGCGUAGGCUGUGCGUUAAGUCAGGGGUGAAAUGCCGUCGCUCAACGACGGAGCUGCCCUUGAUACUGGCGUGCUGGAGUACGGAUGCCGUUGGAGGAAUGAGUGGUGUAGCGGUGAAAUGCUUAGAUAUCACUCAGAACACCGACUGCGAAGGCAUCUGACGAAUCCGUCACUGACGCUGAGGCACGAAAGCGUGGGGAUAGAACAGGAUUAGAUACCCUGGUAUUCCACGCCGUAAACGAUGAUGACUAACCGUCGGCGAUAGACAGCCGGUGGCCAAGCGAAAGCGAUAAGUCAUCCACCUGGGGAGUACGUCGGCAACGAUGAAACUCAAAGGAAUUGACGGGG